This 180-nucleotide ribosomal RNA is filed under the name uncultured bacterium. RNAcentral describes it as "partial 16S ribosomal RNA". It matches the Rfam family "Bacterial small subunit ribosomal RNA", at positions 334 to 527 of the family's 1533-position model. The record is from RNAcentral.
GAUUCCUACGGGAGGCAGCAGUGGGGAAUAUUGGACAAUGGGCCACAAGCCUGAUCCAGCAAUUCUGUGUGCACGAUGAAGGUUUUCGGAUCGUAAAGUGCUUUCAGCAGGGAAGAAAAAAAUGACGGUACCUGCAGAAGAAGCGACGGCUAAAUACGUGCCAGCAGCCGCGGUAAUAAA